UUCCCCAAAGGGACUGCAGCCUGUGGAUGAGCCCGCACUGCAAGAGACUUUACCUGGAAAUCAGUGAAGAGAAAACAGGCUGUGUUAAGAAGGCUUAUUUGGAUAAACUCAAGCAGAUCCCAAGGCUGAGCAGGAGGUCCUCGUCUGCCAUCCCCCACUGAAAACAUACUGAUGUUUCUGUGAUGCCCCCACCCUCUCCUGCAGAAGAUUGGCAGCAUCAGCCUUAGGCCUUGGGAGAGCAUCAUGGGGUGAGCCAGAGAAACCCCGUGGAAAACUAGGUGGAUGCUCUGGCUGCCAGGAAGUGAAUUUUGUGGACACCAAUGAGCUCCAGUUUCUUUACAACCAUGAAAUCAUGUAUUUUAAAGAAAGCAAAAGGAAGCUACUCUUACCGUAACUGCAUGCCAAAUAGGAAGACAGAAACAAUCUCAGUAAGAAAGAUAACUGUAAGUCUUGUUCAUCACACUGAGGUGAGUAGAGGCUACAAGAGAUUAUGGUCAACUGGGAAUCUUCUGACAAAAUGUCUCUGCUUCAGAAAAGAUGUGGCAAGAUACUACAGUUCUUCACAGCUCCAAAGCACUACCGACAGUAUUAUGGAUAUAGAAGUCCGGCUCCUUAGUGUUUCAACUCUUUAGCUCAUUCACCAAACCAGUGAGGAACUGCUGUGUAUGAAGUUCUAUAAACUGAAAAAGUGAGCAAGAACCACUAAGGAAAUCAGAUGUGUUCAGUGAAAAAUGUUCAUUUAUUGUUCAUUAACAGAGGUAAAACUCAUUGCUACAUGAGCUGGUCCAACUUGUAACAAAGCUGUCUAUCAUAUAUCUUUCUUUGAUUCUCUUAGAGGUUGAUUUUUGUUAUUGUGUGUUGUCUCAGUACAUUAGUCCAAGUGAAAUGCCACAGGAUAGAGAUAAUAUCCGAUUACUUGUUCGGCUGAAAAUAAUUUCUGUUAAAGUUGGAACAAAAGGCAUAAGAAAUACCACAUCAACUUUAAUAAAUCUUACAAUAUUACAAAGAAUCUUGGAAUGCUAUGAACCAGCUUUUAACGUGUGCUUCUCCAUUAAGGCAGAAAAUUGCACUGGGAAAAAAAAUACCCAACCUGUUUCUGCUCCACUGCAACAGUUUCACAGAUGAUGCUUUGCUUUGAAUUUGCGUUGGAA
Gymnogyps californianus (California condor) is the source of this 1151-nucleotide long non-coding RNA. RefSeq lists it as uncharacterized. NCBI's taxonomy places the organism in Eukaryota, Metazoa, Chordata, Aves, Accipitriformes, Cathartidae. The record is from RefSeq and is a predicted model, not a curated record. The transcript is spliced from 7 exons.